GGGCCCUAUCAGGCUUGUUGGUGAGGGUAAUGGCUCACCAAGGCGACGACGGGUAGCCGCCCUGAGAGGGUGACCGCCCCCCUUGGGAUUGAGACACGGCCCAGACUCUUACGGGAGGCAGCAGUGGGGAAUAUUGCACAAUGGGCGAAAGCCUGAUGCAGCGACGCCGCGUGAGGGAUGACGCCCUUCGGGUUGUAAACCUCUUUCAGUAGGGAAGAAGCGAAAGUGACGGUACCUGCAGAAGAAGCACCGGCUAACUACGUGCCAGCAGCCGCGGUAAUACGUAGGGUGCGAGCGUUAUCCGGAAUUAUUGGGCGUAAAGAGCUCGUAGGCGGUUUGUCGCGUCUGUCGUGAAAGUCCGGGGCUUAACCCCGGAUCUGCGGUGGGUACGGGCAGACUAGAGUGCAGUAGGGGAGACUGGAAUUCCUGGUGUAGCGGUGGAAUGCGCAGAUAUCAGGAGGAACACCGAUGGCGAAGGCAGGUCUCUGGGCUGUAACUGACGCUGAGGAGCGAAAGCAUGGGGAGCGAACAGGAUUAGAUACCCCUGGUAGUCCAUGCCGUAAACGUUGGGCACUAGGUGUGGGGACCAUUCCACGGUUUCCGCGCCGCAGCUAACGCAUUAAGUGCCCCGCCUGGGGAGUACGGCCGCAAGGCUAAAACUCAAAGGAAUUGACGGGGGCCCGCACAAGCGGCGGAGCAUGCGGAUUAAUUCGAUGCAACGCGAAGAACCUUACCAAGGCUUGACAUGUUCNCGAUCGCCGUAGAGAUACGGUUUCCCCUUGGGGCGGUUCACAG
Molecule: ribosomal RNA, 795 nt
Filed under: actinobacterium RG-65
Lineage: Bacteria; Bacillati; Actinomycetota; Actinomycetes
Description: bacterial SSU rRNA
Rfam family: Bacterial small subunit ribosomal RNA
Source: RNAcentral